RNAcentral lists this ribosomal RNA (415 nucleotides) under uncultured prokaryote. Its description in RNAcentral is "bacterial SSU rRNA". It matches the Rfam family "Bacterial small subunit ribosomal RNA", at positions 505 to 918 of the family's 1533-position model. The record is from RNAcentral.
GUGUCAGCCGCCGCGGUAAUACGGAGGGGGCAAGCGUUAUUCGGAAUUACUGGGCGUAAAGCGCACGUAGGCGGCGAAGCAAGUCAAGGGUGAAAGCCCUCGGCUCAACCGAGGAAUUGCCCUUGAAACUGUUUCGUUUGAGUCCGGGAGGGGGGAGCGGAAUUCCCAGUGUAGCGGUGAAAUGCGUAGAUACUGGGAGGAACACCGGUGGCGAAGGCGGCUCCCUGGACCGGUACUGACGCUGAGGUGCGAAAGCGUGGGGAGCGAACGGGAUUAGAUACCCCGGUAGUCCACGCCGUAAACGAUGGGUGCUAGGUGUUGGUGGUGUCGAUCCCAUCAGUGCCGAAGCUAACGCGAUAAGCACCCCACCUGGGGACUACGGCCGCAAGGCUAAAACUCAAAGGAAUUGGCGGGG